This 73-nucleotide transfer RNA is filed under the name Ailuropoda melanoleuca (giant panda). It matches the Rfam family "tRNA". From Rfam's summary of the family: Transfer RNA (tRNA) molecules are approximately 80 nucleotides in length. Their secondary structure includes four short double-helical elements and three loops (D, anti-codon, and T loops). Lineage: Eukaryota; Metazoa; Chordata; Mammalia; Carnivora; Ursidae. The record is from Rfam by way of RNAcentral.
ACCCAACCGGCUCAGUCAGUAGAGCACGCGACUCUUGAUCUUGGGGUUGUGAGUUUGAACCUCACAUUGGGUG